GUGCCAGCCGCCGCGGUAAUACAGAGGUCCCAAGCGUUGUUCGGAUUCACUGGGCGUAAAGGGUGCGUAGGUGGUGGGGUAAGUCGGAUGUGAAAGCUCGGAGCUCAACUCCGAAAUGGCAUUGGAAACUACCCCGCUCGAGGGAUGGAAGGGGGACUGGAAUUCUCGGUGUAGCAGUGAAAUGCGUAGAUAUCGAGAGGAACACCAGUGGCGAAGGCGAGUCUCUGGACAUCUCCUGACACUGAGGCACGAAAGCUAGGGGAGCAAACAGGAUUAGAAACCCUCGUAGUCC
This 292-nucleotide ribosomal RNA is filed under the name uncultured bacterium. RNAcentral's name for it is "partial 16S ribosomal RNA". It matches the Rfam family "Bacterial small subunit ribosomal RNA", at positions 505 to 796 of the family's 1533-position model. The record is from RNAcentral.